CCGGUAAACGGCGGCCGUAACUAUAACGGUCCUAAGGUAGCGAAAUUCCUUGUCGGGUAAGUUCCGACCUGCACGAAUGGCGUAAUGAUGGCCAGGCUGUCUCCACCCGAGACUCAGUGAAAUUGAACUCGCUGUGAAGAUGCAGUGUACCCGCGGCAAGACGGAAAGACCCCGUGAACCUUUACUAUAGCUUGACACUGAACAUUGAGCCUUGAUGUGUAGGAUAGGUGGGAGGCUUUGAAGUGUGGACGCCAGUCUGCAUGGAGCCGACCUUGAAAUACCACCCUUUAAUGUUUGAUGUUCUAACGUGGGCCCCUAAUCGGGGUUGCGGACAGUGUCUGGUGGGUAGUUUGACUGGGGCGGUCUCCUCCUAAAGAGUAACGGAGGAGCACGAAGGUUGGCUAAUCCUGGUCGGACAUCAGGAGGUUAGUGCAAUGGCAUAAGCCAGCUUGACUGCGAGCGUGACGGCGCGAGCAGGUGCGAAAGCAGGUCAUAGUGAUCCGGUGGUUCUGAAUGGAAGGGCCAUCGCUCAACGGAUAAAAGGUACUCCGGGGAUAACAGGCUGAUACCGCCCAAGAGUUCAUAUCGACGGCGGUGUUUGGCACCUCGAUGUCGGCUCAUCACAUCCUGGGGCUGAAGUAGGUCCCAAGGGUAUGGCUGUUCGCCAUUUAAAGUGGUACGCGAGCUGGGUUUAGAACGUCGUGAGACAGUUCGGUCCCUAUCUGCCGUGGGCGCUGGAGAACUGAGGGGGGCUGCUCCUAGUACGAGAGGACCGGAGUGGACGCAUCACUGGUGUUCGGGUUGUCAUGCCAAUGGCACUGCCCGGUAGCUAAAUGCGGAAGAGAUAAGUGCUGAAAGCAUCUAAGCACGAAACUUGCCCCGAGAUGAGUUCUCCCUGAGACUUAGAGUCUCCUGAAGGAACGUUGAAGACGACGACGUUGAUAGGCCGGGUGUGUAAGCGCAGCGAUGCGUUGAGCUAACCGGUACUAAUGAACCGUGAGGCUUAACCUUACAACGCCGAAG
RNAcentral lists this ribosomal RNA (1023 nucleotides) under Escherichia coli. RNAcentral describes it as "partial 23S ribosomal RNA". It matches the Rfam family "Bacterial large subunit ribosomal RNA", at positions 1920 to 2925 of the family's 2925-position model. The record is from RNAcentral. Lineage: Bacteria; Pseudomonadati; Pseudomonadota; Gammaproteobacteria; Enterobacterales; Enterobacteriaceae.